CAUCACUGAAUUAGAAACUCAGUUAGUCUGGCACUAAAGUACAAUGAGUUGCUUGCAAGUUUUCAUGGUGAUCUCAGGUCGGAGAGAUACUUAUACCCAUACCCUUUGUGAUCUACCCUUGAUAGCAGAAUGCUCCACAGUUGGUCAUGUUCAGUGAUGAUGUACUCUUACAUCUCACCUACGUGCCAUACCAGUGCUCCACACUAUUUGGUUACGAGGACAACCAACGCAUAUGGUACACA
Molecule: long non-coding RNA, 242 nt
Filed under: Elaeis guineensis (African oil palm)
Lineage: Eukaryota; Viridiplantae; Streptophyta; Magnoliopsida; Arecales; Arecaceae
Description: long non-coding RNA (EGUI_LNC044710)
Source: RNAcentral